RNAcentral lists this ribosomal RNA (346 nucleotides) under Inocybe aff. asterospora PBM-2014. RNAcentral describes it as "SSU rRNA". It matches the Rfam family "Eukaryotic small subunit ribosomal RNA", at positions 594 to 945 of the family's 1831-position model. Lineage: Eukaryota; Fungi; Basidiomycota; Agaricomycetes; Agaricales; Inocybaceae. The record is from RNAcentral.
AUAGCGUAUAUUAAAGUUGUUGCAGUUAAAAAGCUCGUAGUUGAACUUCAGACCUGGCUGGGGGGUCGGCUUUUCGGCUAGUACUGUCCGGCUGGGCCUUACUUCUUGGUGAGCCGGUGUGCCCUUUAUUGGGUGUGUUGGUGAACCAGGACCUUUACCUUGAGAAAAUUAGAGUGUUCAAAGCAGGCCUAUGCCCGAAUACAUUAGCAUGGAAUAAUAAAAUAGGACGUGUGGUUCUAUUUUGUUGGUUUCUAGAGUCGCCGUAAUGAUUAAUAGGGAUAGUUGGGGGCAUUGGUAUUGAGUCGCUAGAGGUGAAAUUCUUGGAUCGAUUGAAGACUAACUACUG